CAGUCGCCGCGGGAAUACGAAGGGUGCAAGCGUUACUCGGAAUUACUGGGCGUAAAGCGUGCGUAGGUGGUGGUUUAAGUCCGUUGUGAAAGCCCUGGGCUCAACCUGGGAAUUGCAGUGGAUACUGGGUCACUAGAGUGUGGUAGAGGAUAGUGGAAUUCCCGGUGUAGCGGUGAAAUGCGUAGAGAUCGGGAGGAACAUCAGUGGCGAAGGCGGCCAUCUGGGACAACACUGACGCUGAGGCACGAAAGCGUGGGGAGCAAACAGGAUUAGAUACCCCCGUAGUCCCUGUCUCUUAUAC
This 301-nucleotide ribosomal RNA is filed under the name uncultured bacterium. RNAcentral describes it as "partial 16S ribosomal RNA". It matches the Rfam family "Bacterial small subunit ribosomal RNA", at positions 509 to 807 of the family's 1533-position model. The record is from RNAcentral.